This 1141-nucleotide long non-coding RNA is filed under the name Equus caballus (horse). Its description in RNAcentral is "lncRNA (ENSECAG00000058355.1)". Lineage: Eukaryota; Metazoa; Chordata; Mammalia; Perissodactyla; Equidae. The record is from RNAcentral.
UGGCCUGAAUUUGAAGAAGUACAAGUUUGUACAGGCAUGAAGAUUAAGGCAGUUGGAAUCCUGUGCUUGCGGCUAAGAGAAGUUGUGGAGUUCCCUGGAGGCCUCCAAGGAGUGAGCCAUCCUAAAUCACAAAGUUACUGAACAUUAGAGUCGUUUCCCCUUUUUGGCUGUCAUGAAUAAUGCGGCUGAGGACACUUGCAUGUCUCCACAACUGCGUGUACGCACUCUCCACACAGCAAUCAGAGUGGACCUUCCAAAACAGAGAAUCAGACCACAUCCCUCCUUAGUACAGUUCUCCAGUGGCUUCCCGUCUCACUAAGAAUGGAGCCUAACCUCCUUACCCUAGCCUGCAGCGCCCUGCCUGACCUGACCUCUGCCGACAUGUUUCACUUCAUCUCGUGCUACUUCUCUCACUUGCGCCUUCACCUGUGUUGAUCUUGUUGUUCUCCAACCAGGAGAGUUUGUUCUGCCCUCGGGGUUCGUAUAUAAGCUAUUCCAUUUGCCUAUGAUGUCCUUCCCUGUCUUCGUUUGGCUCACUGCUUCUCAUUCAGGUCUCUUCUCACAGGUCCUUCAUGUAGAGAAGCCUUCCAUGGCCACCCUAUCUAAAAUAGCAGCCAUGCUUCUCACACUAUUAGACUUACUGUGUUUCGUUUUCCACUAGCACCUACAACUGAAUGAUCUGAAAUCACCUUACUUAUUGUUUGUUGACUGUCUCCCUAUCAGAAUGCAAGCACAAUGAGGCUUUCUCUCCAAUACAGUCACAUUGGGAAUUAGAGUUUCAACGUAUGAAUUUUGGGAGAACACAGUUCAGUCCAGAACACCUUGCCCCUUGCUUUGACCAAUAGAAUGCUGCAGAAGUGAUGAUCUGUGACUUCUAACAAGACCUCAAGAAGCUUUAGCAGCUUCAUCUCUUGCCUUCUUUGGAAUCAAUAUGUGCAGAAGCCUGAGCUAGCCUGCUGGAGAGAUACAGAGAACAGAAACACCCUGAUCAUUAACCCCAGCUGACUGCCCAUUGAUUGCAACUGGGAGUAAGCCUAGUUGACACCACGUGGAGCAGAGAUGAGUUGUCCCAGCUGAGCCCUGCACAAAUUGCUGAUCCUAGAAUUGUGAACCAAUAAAUGAUGUUAUUUUAAGCCACAAA